RNAcentral lists this ribosomal RNA (446 nucleotides) under uncultured bacterium. RNAcentral describes it as "bacterial SSU rRNA". It matches the Rfam family "Bacterial small subunit ribosomal RNA", at positions 330 to 792 of the family's 1533-position model. The record is from RNAcentral.
UCCAGACUCCUACGGGAGGCAGCAGUGGGGAAUAUUGCACAAUGGGGGAAACCCUGAUGCAGCAACGCCGCGUGGGUGAAGGAGCGUUUCGGCGCGUAAAGCCCUAUCAGCAGGGAAGAAAGAAGACGGUACCUGACUAAGAAGCCCCGGCUAACUACGUGCCAGCAGCCGCGGUAAUACGUAGGGGGCGAGCGUUAUCCGGAUUCACUGGGUGUAAAGGGAGCGUAGACGGCCGUGCAAGCCAGGAGUGAAAGCCCGGGGCCCAACCCCGGGACUGCUCUUGGAACUGUGCGGCUGGAGUGCGGGAGGGGCAGGCGGAAUUCCUGGUGUAGCGGUGAAAUGCGUAGAUAUCAGGAGGAACACCGGCGGCGAAGGCGGCCUGCUGGACCGCGACUGACGUUGAGGCUCGAAAGCGUGGGGAGCGAACAGGAUUAGAUACCCGAGUA